Molecule: transfer RNA, 73 nt
Filed under: Dipodomys ordii (Ord's kangaroo rat)
Lineage: Eukaryota; Metazoa; Chordata; Mammalia; Rodentia; Heteromyidae
Rfam family: tRNA
About the family: Transfer RNA (tRNA) molecules are approximately 80 nucleotides in length. Their secondary structure includes four short double-helical elements and three loops (D, anti-codon, and T loops).
Source: Rfam by way of RNAcentral
UGGGGUAUGGCUCAAGUGGUAGAGUGCUUGCCUAGAAAGCAGAUGGUCCUGAGUUCAAGUCAUAAUACCUCUA